This 111-nucleotide non-coding RNA is filed under the name Kibdelosporangium aridum. Its description in RNAcentral is "TPP sequence". It matches the Rfam family "TPP riboswitch aptamer (THI element)". Rfam says of the family: Vitamin B(1) in its active form thiamin pyrophosphate (TPP) is an essential coenzyme that is synthesised by coupling of pyrimidine and thiazole moieties in bacteria. The record is from Rfam by way of RNAcentral. Lineage: Bacteria; Bacillati; Actinomycetota; Actinomycetes; Pseudonocardiales; Pseudonocardiaceae.
ACCGGUCCGCACGGGAGCCUGGCGAAACCGGGCUGAGAGGGAACUUGAGGAGUUCCGACCGUCGAACCUGAUCCGGGUCAUGCCGGCGCAGGGAGCGUGUUGUGGUCAAAG